GGUGUUGUUGAGAACAGCAGAACAAUGGCCACAGUGGGGUGUUGGGGGCUGGUUUGGUUUUUGUGUGGGGAUGCCAAACAAACUGCAAAACGCAGGCACUUACCCAGUCGGUGGGCGAGUUUGUUGUUGUGUGUUCGUGUGUGUGUAAGCGCCUCGUUAGGAAAGCAACUCAAAAUGACGCCCGAAGUCCUGCCCCAGGUCUGCGCCGCUGGUCGGGUCGGGUCGGGUCGUGUCGGGUCCUGCCUUGUUUUCUCUAUGCAAUUUGC
Molecule: long non-coding RNA, 266 nt
Filed under: Drosophila guanche
Lineage: Eukaryota; Metazoa; Arthropoda; Insecta; Diptera; Drosophilidae
Source: RNAcentral